AUCAUAUUUGGUAGCCAAGGAUGACUUGCCUGUUUCUUUGAACAAAAUGGUUAUUGUCAUGUUUGACAAGUGACUAUAAUUUGUAUCAAGUGACCAUUUAAAUGUAAAAAGAUAUCAGGCAGUCUCCUUGGCUAUCCUUAUAUGUUCU
This 148-nucleotide microRNA precursor is filed under the name Arabidopsis halleri subsp. gemmifera. Lineage: Eukaryota; Viridiplantae; Streptophyta; Magnoliopsida; Brassicales; Brassicaceae. The record is from RNAcentral.